This 74-nucleotide transfer RNA is filed under the name Bacillota bacterium. RNAcentral's name for it is "Firmicutes bacterium (anaerobic digester metagenome) tRNA-Gln". It matches the Rfam family "tRNA". From Rfam's summary of the family: Transfer RNA (tRNA) molecules are approximately 80 nucleotides in length. RNAcentral also lists the same sequence under 2 other names. Lineage: Bacteria; Bacillati; Bacillota. The record is from RNAcentral.
UGGGGAGUCGUCUAGUGGUAGGACGACAGACUCUGGAUCUGUUUGCGGGGGUUCGAAUCCUCCCUCCCCAGCCA